GGCUGUGGCGAGGUUGGCACCGAGCGAAAUGCCAAGUCCCAAAAGCACUUUCGCGGUCUAGUAAAUAUGGCCGCGUUUCACAUUCUGCUUGCAAAACAAUGUAAUCCACAAAUAUCCAGCGGUUUCCACUCCGUAUAAAGCGAGGACUGCCAUGUGAAAUAAGACGCCUUUCCAAGAAGGGGGGAAAAAGAUCCCGGUGACAGCUGCGAGCGAAGCACAAAGCUACCGUGGCUCUCGGACAAAGGCAGCCAUGUGUCCUGCAUGGGAGAGGAGCAAAAGGAGCGCAAAAGGAGCGCAAAAGGAGCGCAAAAGGAGCGCAGGAAGCAGCCAGCCGAUCCCCCGAUCGCCUCCGCACUUCUGCGCGCAGACAGCGACGUAUCUGGUGAAUGCGCCCAACGCAAUUCCUUGCAAAUGGCGUACAAAACGAGCACUCCUUCUCGCGUGCUUUUGUAUCAGGGCAACGCCACCUCACGAGCAAGGCGAAGAGGCUGCGCGCAGCAAGAAAGCAUCCACGCGCCGUCAAAAGACUCGCCUAUCUCCCGCGUGCUCGUCGCCAGGCGCUCUCGAAGAGCAGAGAAUCCAUCCAAAAAACCCCACAAAGAGCUCCCCUUCGGCUAGUGAGGACGGCACGGAGCCGCAACAAAACCGACAGGAGCUGUAGCGGGACGUUUUCAGGGCUUCGCAGGUAAAACUCGCGCGCCGUGGCUCGUGUCCGCUUCCAGUCUGUCCGGCGCUGCCGCGCUCGUGCUGCUGCUGCUGCUGCUGCUGCUACCCGCUCGCUCCGCGGCGCAGACGAGCUCUUCAGUUCAUCCGUCGGUUUGUCUCCGAGGUCUCCCUCGCGACCGGGUCCUCCCACUUCCUGAUUCCAACCUGCCUUCACUCGACUCCUACCCUCGUGCCCCGCUGCCGACACGCACGCGCACACGCGCGCAAAAGUUUGAGCGGCGCUUCCCCGCAGCAGAAGCUCGCACGGACAGCUAUCACGCACGGCGGUGUCGCGCGACCUUAUUCCUGAGCGUGUGCAUGGUGCACACCGAGAGACAGUGCCAGUGGUCAGAGUGAAAGGAUGUGUUCUGGGGUGGGAGUAAGCAGAAGGGGGACGUGGGGCGAUGUUCUCUCAUUACCGUGAUGAUGUCAGCCACUGAUGAAUGUUCCAGCAGGGUGUCGCCACCGCGAGGGGUGGGAGACAACAUGACCCUCACACCCGCUGCCUUCCUGUUAGCACCACACACCCCAACCCAGCAUGACCUCACCAGCAAUCCUGGGACUACCAUCGGCCAGACCGGCUCGGGGUCACGGACCGUGGCUGCGCUUCCGAGAGAAGAGAGCCCCAGUAAACGCCUGCCAAAGUCUCAGCUAAAUCGAAUAAACACGUCUAAAGGACCACAGACACACUCACUCCAGCAGUAGGGCGCCGUUUAUAAAGCCGUGGCAUUUCAAUAAACAGUGUUGAGAGAAACCGCAAAUGUUUAAAUAGAAUUGAUUAGGUGUAGGGAGCAGGGUUGACUCAGUAUGUGUAUGAAACAGCAGACAGCAAAAAACAAAUGAAUCACUUAGCCCAGAUGUGUAUACCGUGGCACCGGUACUAAUCACAGCACUGAGGCCAACGACUUUUACAGGCUUUGUCUUUGAAUGAAAAUAACUUUUUGGCUUCCUUCCUCGAUCUCCUCAUGAACCUUAUGAGUAUGGAUGCGAAAACAAUCGUACAGUCAGCUAUUUCCAGACGUUUCUGGAAAAACCUUCUGAACUGGUUAACUCAGAGGCCUGACCCACAGUUCUGUCUUGGCAAACAAGUAUUAACCCUCAGUGCAGAAGAAGCCGUGCACAUCUGAUCUUUGCUGCCACCAGGAACCAUCUGAUUAUAACUUCUGAUCUUAAUCUGAUUUUUUUGUGUGUGGCUGGAAAGCACAGUGCAUUUAUCUGUCAAAAACACCAGCGUCAUCUCCAACAUAUACUUUAGCCAAAGCAGUGGGAUUCAUAAAUAAAAUAUUUUUACCCCAAGUUCAACCCUCACAAUCUCUCACAACCAGACGGUUUGUCCUAGAGAAAUAUACAUUAUUUAUCCAGCUAGUUAUCUUCAUCAAUAUGUGUUUGGCCAAUCCUAAAACAGGAGGGAGGUACAGAUGGAAGAAAGAGUUAAUUUAAUCAUCUUAUAACUUCAGACUGAGGAGAGAAGAGAUACAGAUCCAAUUGGAAGGAUGUGGGAUUGGAAAACUUUGGGAUAGGAAGACUGGGAUUGGAAGACUGGGAUUGGAAAUCUGAUUGAUCUUCAGGACAAGGAAACAGAAUUAAUCUGCUACAGGUGAUGGAGAACGGAAACAAAUGAGCUACGGAGACGUUUAGUUACGAUAAACAAACAAAUUAUUUCACUCAGAGCUAUAAUUUUAAACCAAUAUUCUUUGCUCAAUUCAGACUAUUAUCAUAUAAAUGUCCUUGUAUGUACAUUACUGUGAUUAAUGAGUUAUCUGAGGUGAGACUGUGUUCUAGGAAACACUGUGCUUUAAAACAGUGGAACGCAUCAGCCUCAUUUGGGAAGAAACAUGCAGCCAAAAUGUUGCAAUAAGAAACAGAAACUGCUGUAUAAUCUCACCAGUUACUUUAUUAGAAACACCUACCUUGUAGGUCCACCAUGUCCGUGUACAGAUAUAGUCUGUAUCCUAACACCCGACACUAUUUGCCUUAGCUAUCAAAAAGCACUUUAUGUGACUUUAGCUUGAAUGUUGUGACAUGAGCUCAAGCCACGCUGCCCACACUUUGCUCUUACUUCUAGGUGAACCACUCCAGGCAGUUCUAUUCCUUAUACAUGCGCUGAACUUCAUUUCACACUUGUUUACCUGGCAAAUUCAUGGAAGAAGUGUGAGUACAUGAGGCUAGGGUACAUCGCUUAAAAACCAUGAGCUUGAUAUCCGAUGACAAUUCUGAAGAGAACAUGGAUGCUAUUGAAAUGAGUUCUCCAGCCAAGGUCAUCAAGACGGGAGCAGCACAGAGUGAAGUUCUGCACCAGCUCUGCAGCGGGCACCUUACUCUCAAACCUGCUAAAUUCAGCACCACGCUCAACCUUCACAUCAAGAGCCGACCUUGUGCCUGACAACACUUUAGGAACAGGUGUUGUUGAGUCCAAUUCAGUGCAAACUAUGUUCCACGGCUUAAUCCAUAACUGCAGAGUCUAGCUGGGAUUGCUGGGAUUGCUCUGUGCUCUCAGGUCACUAAUAAUUUUUUGGAAGUCAAAUGAGGACAUCAUCUGGGUCCUGGUCAGUGUGGCCAAGGAAGUUUUUUUUUUUUUUGUGUGUGUGUGUGUGUGCUCAUGUUUUGUUUCCAUGUUUUGUUUCCAUUAUACUCAACUAGAAGUUUCUUGAUCUUCUUUAUAUUGUAUGUAUGCUACAAUAUAAUCUAAAGUAAAAUCGAUUGAUAAUCA
Long non-coding RNA from Electrophorus electricus (electric eel), 3415 nucleotides. RefSeq lists it as uncharacterized. The record is from RefSeq and is a predicted model, not a curated record. Lineage: Eukaryota; Metazoa; Chordata; Actinopteri; Gymnotiformes; Gymnotidae.